GGAAUUGACGGGGGCCCGCACAAGCGGUGGAGCAUGUGGUUUAAUUCGAUGCAACGCGAAGAACCUUACCUACUCUUGACAUCCAGAGAACUUAGCAGAGAUGCUUUGGUGCCUUCGGGAACUCUGAGACAGGUGCUGCAUGGCUGUCGUCAGCUCGUGUUGUGAAAUGUUGGGUUAAGUCCCGCAACGAGCGCAACCCUUAUCCUUUGUUGCCAGCGGUCCGGCCGGGAACUCAAAGGAGACUGCCAGUGAUAAACUGGAGGAAGGUGGGGAUGACGUCAAGUCAUCAUGGCCCUUACGAGUAGGGCUACACACGUGCUACAAUGGCAUAUACAAAGAGAAGCGACCUCGCGAGAGCAAGCGGACCUCAUAAAGUAUGUCGUAGUCCGGAUUGGAGUCUGCAACUCGACUCCAUGAAGUCGGAAUCGCUAGUAAUCGUGGAUCAGAAUGCCACGGUGAAUACGUUCCCGGGCCUUGUACACACCGCCCGUCACACCAUGGGAGUGGGUUGCAAAAGAAGUAGGUAGCUUAACCUUCGGGAGGGCGCUUACCACUUUGUGAUUCAUGACUGGGGUGAAGUCGUAACAAGGUAACCGUAGGGGAACCUGCGGUUGGAUCACCUCCUUUAUG
RNAcentral lists this ribosomal RNA (630 nucleotides) under uncultured Massilia sp. Its description in RNAcentral is "bacterial SSU rRNA". It matches the Rfam family "Bacterial small subunit ribosomal RNA", at positions 906 to 1533 of the family's 1533-position model. The record is from RNAcentral. Lineage: Bacteria; Pseudomonadati; Pseudomonadota; Betaproteobacteria; Burkholderiales; Oxalobacteraceae.